This is a non-coding RNA of Ictidomys tridecemlineatus (thirteen-lined ground squirrel), 472 nucleotides long. Lineage: Eukaryota; Metazoa; Chordata; Mammalia; Rodentia; Sciuridae. The record is from RefSeq and is a predicted model, not a curated record.
CUGAAUUACUCACCAUACUUACUGUCAUUCAGCAUUAGCUGUGCUGUUUUGGCUCUGUUGAAGCAAUAUCAUUUGCAACUCGAGAAGGAUCAAACACCCAGGAAAAAGGUUAUUUCCCCCAGGAUUUGAGGAGAUUUCUUCAUGUGAAAGACAGAGAUAGAAUUGGAAAGAAAUGACUUCAUUGUCUAGUGAAGAAGCUGCAUAGAAGAGAAAGGAGCCUUGUGAAGUAUUCCUUCCACAUUCUCCUCACAGAGCCACCCUGAAUGGAGACUACCUUAGACGGAGACAGGUUUUAUAGGAAAAGACACAGAGCUUGAAAGUCAGGAUAUAUGCUUGUUUGACCAGCAUUAUCAACUGCGAUGCUCCCAUUCAGUAUCCAGGAUUUAGUGGUCUUGCUGUAGACAUUUGAUAUAUCCAGACAGUACCUCCUGCCCAUGAAGAACCAGACUGAGCCAGGUACCACCAAGCUAAG